AUGGGUUGGAGUGAUCAAGUGUUGUUUGGGUAGCUAGCAAUAUGGGUUACAUGAAGAUGGCUUGUGUUCUCUUCUUCGUUUUCCUCUUCAUUGCUGCUGGAGAAAUGGAGAUGGCAGAGGCGAGGACAUGCGAGUCAGCGAGCACUAGGUUCAAUGGGGUGUGUGUGAGGAGCA
Long non-coding RNA from Telopea speciosissima, 174 nucleotides. RefSeq lists it as uncharacterized. The record is from RefSeq and is a predicted model, not a curated record. The transcript is spliced from 2 exons. NCBI's taxonomy places the organism in Eukaryota, Viridiplantae, Streptophyta, Magnoliopsida, Proteales, Proteaceae.